CCCGCCUGGACCUCCUAGCAACCGCCUAGCCCGCCUAGCGCCCGCCUAAGGACCGCCUAGCAACCGCCUAGACUGCCUAGCCCGCCUAGCCCCAGCCUAGCCUGCCUAGCGCCCGCCUAGGCCAUUUAUUCCAUAAUAUUAACAAUAUGAGUGAGUAUGUUCAUGGAUUUAACUUGUAAAGAAGAUUUCCGAACAACAACAGAUAACCCAGAGAAGUUUCAUGGAGUUAUCACAAUGGUGGCUCUUGGCCAACACUGCUGUGGUUGCUUACUGCAGCAUGUAUCAAGACGGGGCGGCCUCGGACUGCUAAGAGAGCAACUGAAUAGGUGGAGCAGCGGCUCUCAAAAGCAGGUGGCAAGAAUACUAUGACAGCAAGGCAGGGAGAUAUGUCAGGAAGCAAGCGAGGAAGUACCAGACCUGGAGCAUCUCAGGGUAUCUGGUAGCUAAACUGAUGAUCGAGAACCCAGCCAAUCUUUCACUAAUCCCUCUUGAAGAGGACAAGAAGAUAGCCAAGCCAAGGCUCACCCGCUCUGCUUCCUUUUGAGUCAAACCAGUGGCAGCAGCAUACAUGAUGCAUUACAGAUUAAGAGGGCGACAGAGUCUGCUGAAGGUUGUGUGAAAUUAUGGCCUGGCUUCUCACUGUAUGUUUGGUCACCUGCAAAAUCAUGGACAGCAGUUGCACAGAUUUCACCAGCUUUCUUCUUGGGGAAAACUGCAUCAACAUGGCAUCCUAGAGCUUGAAGAGACUGAAAAGGCACAAUUACCUCAUAAUCUUCCAUGAAGUCCUACGAGUGUUGAGGGAGAGAAAAUGAAUGAUGCUUAGUAACUGUGAGAAAUAUAAAAUUUUGAUCAUUGACUAGAAUAAUACGUAGAUAUUAGGAGUCAGAGCAACAAGUCCAAGCAUGGAAAUGAAACCUCUGUUGACACGGGAAAUAGCGGUAGUACUACUGGGGAUAUGUCCACAGAAAGCACAGCUGAUACUCAUCAAGCUGUUAAUGGUUCUCAUGAAUUGAGGAAAACUGUAAUGGUACUGUAAAUGUGGAUUUGCAGCACCAAGAUGGUGAUGUAGAUAGGAAAUUGGAUUCUAAGCCUAGUUUCAAAAGGAACUCGUCGAGCAAUAAGAAUGAUGAGUCUCAGGUUUUAGGGAUGAAACAAAAAUACGAGUUGAUUGAUUUGUCACCAAGAGGAGUGGGGCUUAGCGUGUGAAUUCACUGAGGCAUCGAUUGAAUAUUCUUCUUAAUCCUGUUCAGGUUUUUGAGCUGAGCUCAACACAAGGACCGGAGGUGUGUCUUUAUUUAUUCAGAAAGGUGCCGCACUUCAGAGUUCUUGUUUGUGGGGGAGAUGGUACUGUUGGUUGGGUUCUGAAUUCCAUAGAAAAGCAAAACUUUGUGUCUCCUCCUCCAGUUGCUAUUCUACCUGUCGGAACAUGGAAUGAUCUGGCUAGAGUUUUGUCAUGGGGAGGUGGUUUGGGCUCAGUGGAGAGACAAGGAGGCCUUUGCACCGUUUUGCACCACAUAGAGCAUGUUGCAGUAACCAUUCUUGAUCGUUGGAAGGUAGCAAUUAUAAAUCAACAGGGGAAAGCAGCUCCAAUCGCCUAAGUUUAUCAACUACUAUCUUGGCCUUCAUGUUGAAGAGGGCUGAUGAGGAGCCACUUGGUCAUGCAGCUGCCAUUAUCACUGAUUCACUGGUGUUGUUGAGAAUGCUGAGACCAACCAUGUAAUAAGUGCAGUGCAGAAGCGAGCUCUUCUUCAAGAAAUGGUGCUGAGGCUGACUUAGAAGUUUCCUCUUGCUGCUUGCUGCUUGGAUUAGUAAUCAAAGUUUUGAUUGUAUCUUCCUUUUCUUUCUUUCAGAAAUAUUCUCUUGGAUGUCUUGACACUUUGUUUGGAAAUGCGACUCAAGCCUUGUGCGUAGAAGGGUGAAUAUAUUUGAAGAUAUAUUUUAAUGUGUAAAGAGUAUAGCCGGGCGGCUAUACUGUUUAAAUUUAUUUGAAUAUUUAAAUAGUAUAGGGGGUGACUAUACUUUUAAGAGUAUAGCCGGGCGGCUAUACUUUUUAAGUAUAUUUUAAUGUUUAAAUAUUGUAGAUUUUGUAGUAGGUUGUUAAGUGUAGUCAUAUCUCUUUAACGAUUUUGGGUGACAGACACAAGAUCACGAGUAAAGUGAGCAGGUAAAAUACUAAACAGUGAGGCUAAAAGUGAU
Prunus persica (peach) is the source of this 2196-nucleotide long non-coding RNA. RefSeq lists it as uncharacterized. The transcript is spliced from 5 exons. Lineage: Eukaryota; Viridiplantae; Streptophyta; Magnoliopsida; Rosales; Rosaceae. The record is from RefSeq and is a predicted model, not a curated record.